GCGCUCACUUUGGCAGCACAUUUACUAACAUUGGAAUAAUACAGAGAAGAUAACAUGGCUCCUGUGCAAGAAUGACAUGUAAAUUAGUGAAACUUUCCAUAUUAAA
Molecule: small nuclear RNA, 106 nt
Organism: Loxodonta africana (African savanna elephant)
Lineage: Eukaryota; Metazoa; Chordata; Mammalia; Proboscidea; Elephantidae
Source: Ensembl